UACGUAGGGGGCAAGCGUUUGGUCCGGAAUCAUUGGGCGUAAAGCGCGUGUAGGCGGCCCGGUAAGUCCGCUGUGAAAGUCAAGGGCUCAACCUUGGAUGCCGGUGGAUACUGUCGGGCUAGAGUGCGGGAGAGGCGAGUGGAAUUCCUGGUGAUAGCGGUGAAAUGCGCAGAUAUCAGGAGGAACACCGAUUGCGAAGGCAGCUCGCUGGAACGUAA
Molecule: ribosomal RNA, 218 nt
Filed under: uncultured bacterium
Lineage: Bacteria
Description: partial 16S ribosomal RNA
Rfam family: Bacterial small subunit ribosomal RNA
Source: RNAcentral